Mus caroli (Ryukyu mouse) is the source of this 455-nucleotide long non-coding RNA. RefSeq lists it as uncharacterized. NCBI's taxonomy places the organism in Eukaryota, Metazoa, Chordata, Mammalia, Rodentia, Muridae. The record is from RefSeq and is a predicted model, not a curated record.
GGCAGGGGAUUCACAAGUGGGACUCUUUAUCCUAGAAUCUAGAUGUGGAAAUUGUUACCAUUCUCUCUAAACUCCACCCCACAGUUACCUGACAACAACCAAAACUAACAGAACUGCACAGAGAGAUACAUAGUAAAGACAACCAGGGGUGGCCACCAUGCAUUAAUACACCUGAAGAGACCAUCAGGAUCCCAGACAUAAGUCUUCACCACUGCGUCUCACUUGCACUCUAAACAGGAGGUGCUUUAACCAGACUUAGCUCCAGCAGUGAGAAACCAGUUAGGUUCCUGAUACAUCCUAAGUAUGAAACCAUCACAACACUUUAUGAGCUUGGCUGAAAUGAUACUUCUUGGUUUUCUUGAUGAUGCUUGACCAUCCUUCUUAGUUAUUAUGCUUACCAGAACGUGCAAAGCCCUCACAAAGUGGAUUCCACGUUCCUUCGCCGGGAAUGGCUG